AACUAGUGGUGGCUCCUUCAGCUUGGGUCCUGAGGUGUGAGGAAGGGCUCUCUGACCUGUAGUGAACACGUCAUUUUGAGACUCCUGACUUUGUUCAAGUAUGGCGAGGAGGCAAGGAUGCU
Molecule: long non-coding RNA, 122 nt
Filed under: Mustela putorius furo (domestic ferret)
Lineage: Eukaryota; Metazoa; Chordata; Mammalia; Carnivora; Mustelidae
Description: lncRNA (ENSMPUG00000027475.1)
Source: RNAcentral